Molecule: ribosomal RNA, 497 nt
Filed under: uncultured bacterium
Lineage: Bacteria
Description: partial 16S ribosomal RNA
Rfam family: Bacterial small subunit ribosomal RNA
Source: RNAcentral
GAUGAACGCUGGCGGCGUGCCUAAUACAUGCAAGUCGAGCGAACAGACGAGGAGCUUGCUCCUCUGACGUUAGCGGCGGACGGGUGAGUAACACGUGGAUAACCUACCUAUAAGACUGGGAUAACUUCGGGAAACCGGAGCUAAUACCUGAUAAUAUCUUGAACCGCAUGGUUCAAUAGUGAAAGACGGUUUUGCUGUCACUUAUAGAUGGAUCCGCGCCGCAUUAGCUAGUUGGUAGGGUAACGGCUUACCAAGGCAACGAUGCGUAGCCGACCUGAGAGGGUGAUCGGCCACACUGGAACUGAGACACGGUCCAGACUCCUACGGGAGGCAGCAGUAGGGAAUCUUCCGCAAUGGGCGAAAGCCUGACGGAGCAACGCCGCGUGAGUGAUGAAGGUCUUCGGAUCGUAAAACUCUGUUAUUAGGGAAGAACAAAUGUGUAAGUAACUAUGCACGGCUUGACGGUACCUAAUCAGAAAGCCACGGCUAACUACGUG